This 253-nucleotide ribosomal RNA is filed under the name uncultured bacterium. RNAcentral describes it as "partial 16S ribosomal RNA". It matches the Rfam family "Bacterial small subunit ribosomal RNA", at positions 524 to 776 of the family's 1533-position model. The record is from RNAcentral.
UACGAAGGGGGCUAGCGUUGUUCGGAUUUACUGGGCGUAAAGCGCGUGUAGGCGGAUCGUUAAGUCGGGGGUGAAAGCCCAGAGCUCAACUCUGGAAUUGCCUUCGAUACUGGCGGUCUGGAGCAGAGAAGAGGCGAGUGGAAAUCCGAGUGUAGCGGUGAAAUUCGUAGAUAUUCGGAGGAACACCAGUGGCGAAGGCGGCUCGCUGGUCUCUUGCUGACGCUGAGACGCGAAAGCGUGGGGAGCAGACAGG